UGAUGUUUGGAGAGGAUAUGUGCGGCAGAUUUUUGUCAAAGUGGCCCACAUUCUUCAAACCCUGACAUACUGUAAACAUCCAGUCUGUAAUGAUCAUGUACAAGAACUCUUGGCUGCACAAAACUCUGAAAGAGAUGUCUUAGGCUGGGACAGUGACCUCUCAAGCAUUCCAAUUUUGGUUCGAAAACUUCCGGCUACUUCCAAACGACAUGAGAAGAGAGCAAAAAUGAGUUCCUCCCAAGCUAUAAACCAUCUUGCAAGAUAUAUGCAGAUUGGAACCAGUGUUGAAACUUUUCUUGCCGGGGUAGACCCAGGACAGCCGUCCCUUCCAUGUGUGGGGGAAGGCACAAACAUUUUGCAGCUUUCCAUGAACUAUUCAACAUUCACGUCUUCAGUUUAAACUACCAAGAGUCUCUCGUCAACAGCGACACCUUCACCCAGACCACAGUGUUCAACAUAGACAUUGGAAGUGCAAAGGAAAGUCUCAGAGUGAAUGGAACUCAGCGCAAGACUUCUAAACAAGGACACCUAUGGUGAUGCAGUGUUUGUCUUCCAUCUGUACGGAACACGACAUAAGUACCGCAUUGCUUUUUCAACAUUUAAGACAACAUCAUGCUUUGCAACUGCAAUGUAGACAACAAGUAUCAAGGGUAUAUUUUUGUUUAUAAUAGGGUUUCAGGGAACACCUUGUUCAUUUAAACACAAACAGUUGAUAAUGUGAAUUAUUUUUUUAAUAUGGACACUAUAGUUGAAAGUGUUGAGCCAUCAACAUUUAAAGGGGCACAGCACUUUUUUGGGAAUUUUGCCUAUUGUUCACAAUCAUUACAAAGACAUGAUGACAGAUGGAUUUUUUUUUUAAUGCAUUCUAACUUGUAAAUACAGUAAACGUAAAUAAGAGUCCAUUUACAGGUCCUGUAUUUCGCCCAUAAAAUCUAAUAAUUAUUAAAAAAACGCCAACAAUACUCUAUUUACUUUUUGUGAAUUAAAUAUUAACCAAGUAUUAGUGAUAUUGUUAUUAUUAGCGCUAACGCAGACAAACUAUUUAUAACGGCGCCGUGAUCACAAUUGUACAAUUUCGACAUGAUUAACUGGCGAAGUGUUUCCUUGCUUCCUUGCUCCCUGAAAGUUUAUUGUAGAUCUUAAAUCAUGCAUCUCACCUGGACAGAAGAAGUCUCAGGACGUAUUCCGACAGGUUGGUACAGUUUGACAGCCAUUUAGGAACCGGAAAUGGCAAGAACGACACGAAAAGAUGCUUGAUUCCCGUCCCCCAUCCUGUUUAUUCGUGAGGAUUGUGUUCAUUCAUCAUCUAAAUGGGAAUAUAUGAACAUCCUACCAGUCUGCAUCCUAAUGACAGCAGACAUUUUAC
Molecule: long non-coding RNA, 1366 nt
Organism: Entelurus aequoreus (snake pipefish)
Lineage: Eukaryota; Metazoa; Chordata; Actinopteri; Syngnathiformes; Syngnathidae
Exons: 3
Source: RefSeq, a predicted model, not a curated record